GAUGAACGCUAGCGACAGGCUUAACACAUGCAAGUCGAGGGGCAGCACAGGGUAGCAAUACUUGGGUGGCGACCGGCGCACGGGUGAGUAACGCGUAUGCAACCUGCCGUCUACUCUUGGACAGCCUUCUGAAAGGAAGAUUAAUACAAGAUGGCAUCAUGAGUCCGCAUGUUCACAUGAUUAAAGGUAUUCCGGUAGACGAUGGGGAUGCGUUCCAUUAGAUAGUAGGCGGGGUAACGGCCCACCUAGUCUUCGAUGGAUAGGGGUUCUGAGAGGAAGGUCCCCCACAUUGGAACUGAGACACGGUCCAAACUCCUACGGGAGGCAGCAGUGAGGAAUAUUGGUCAAUGGGCGAGAGCCUGAACCAGCCAAGUAGCGUGAAGGAUGAAGGUCCUACGGAUUGUAAACUUCUUUUAUAAGGGAAUAAAACCUCCACGUGUGGGAGCUUGUAUGUACCUUAUGAAUAAGCAUCGGCUAACUCCGUGCCAGCAG
RNAcentral lists this ribosomal RNA (492 nucleotides) under uncultured bacterium. RNAcentral's name for it is "bacterial SSU rRNA". It matches the Rfam family "Bacterial small subunit ribosomal RNA", at positions 28 to 514 of the family's 1533-position model. The record is from RNAcentral.